RNAcentral lists this ribosomal RNA (300 nucleotides) under uncultured bacterium. Its description in RNAcentral is "bacterial SSU rRNA". It matches the Rfam family "Bacterial small subunit ribosomal RNA", at positions 114 to 414 of the family's 1533-position model. The record is from RNAcentral.
CGCGUAUGUAACCUGCCUACUACAGAGGGAUAGCCCAUGGAAACGUGGAUUAAUACCUUAUGGUACAUUUAAACCUCAUGGUUAAAAUGUUAAAGAUUUAUCGGUAGUAGAUGGACAUGCGUCUGAUUAGGUAGUUGGUGAGGUAACGGCUCACCAAGCCAACGAUCAGUAGGGGGUUUGAGAGGAUGAUCCCCCACACUGGAACUGAGACACGGUCCAGACUCCUACGGGAGGCAGCAGUAGGGAAUAUUGGUCAAUGGAGGCAACUCUGAACCAGCCACGCCGCGUGUAGGAAGAAUG